This 72-nucleotide transfer RNA is filed under the name Chamaesiphon polymorphus CCALA 037. RNAcentral's name for it is "tRNA-Gln". It matches the Rfam family "tRNA". Rfam says of the family: Transfer RNA (tRNA) molecules are approximately 80 nucleotides in length. Their secondary structure includes four short double-helical elements and three loops (D, anti-codon, and T loops). Lineage: Bacteria; Bacillati; Cyanobacteriota; Cyanophyceae; Gomontiellales; Chamaesiphonaceae. The record is from RNAcentral.
UGCCUUGUGGUGUAAUUGGCAACACACCUGACUUUGAUUCAGGCAUUCUAGGUUCGAUCCCUAGCGAGGCAG